RNAcentral lists this transfer RNA (83 nucleotides) under Neurospora pannonica FGSC 7221. RNAcentral's name for it is "tRNA-Leu (CAA) (tRNA-Leu-CAA-4-1)". The stretch from base 4 to 70 matches the Rfam family "tRNA", at positions 8 to 63 of the family's 71-position model. From Rfam's summary of the family: Transfer RNA (tRNA) molecules are approximately 80 nucleotides in length. Their secondary structure includes four short double-helical elements and three loops (D, anti-codon, and T loops). The record is from RNAcentral. Lineage: Eukaryota; Fungi; Ascomycota; Sordariomycetes; Sordariales; Sordariaceae.
GUCUGGCCGAACGGUCUAAGGCGCUAGACUCAAGACCUAGUCUCGAAUGAGGCGCGUGUUCGAAUCACGCUUCAGUUCAAACU